Molecule: ribosomal RNA, 634 nt
Filed under: Hamiltonaphis styraci yeast-like symbiont
Lineage: Eukaryota; Fungi; Ascomycota
Description: LSU rRNA
Rfam family: Eukaryotic large subunit ribosomal RNA
Source: RNAcentral
AGAUAGGGAUUGCCUCAGUAACGGCGAGUGAGGCGGCAACAGCUCAGAUUUGGAAUCUGGCCCCCGCCGAGGGGCCCGAGCUGUAAUCUGCAGAGGAUGCCCCUGGCGCGGCGCCUUCCCGAGUGCCCUGGAACGGGACGCCACAGAGGGUGAGAGCCCCGUCUGGUCGGCCGCCAAGCCUCUGUGAGGAUCCCUCGACGAGUCGAGUAGUUUGAGAAUGCUGCUCAAAGCGGGAGGUAUAUGUCUUCUAAAGCUAAAUACCGGCCAGAGACCGAUAGCGCACAAGUAGAGUGAUCGAAAGAUGAAAAGCACUUUGAAAAGAGGGUUAAACAGUGCGUGAAAUUGUUGAAAGGGAAGCGCUCGUGGCCAGACUUGGGCGCGGCGGAUCACCCGGCGCUCCGCGCCGGUGCACUGCGCCGCGCCCAGGCCAGCAUCGGCCCGCCGCGCGGGACCAAAGGCGUCGGGAACGUGGCUUCCCCCCCUCCCCGGGGGAGUGUUGUUAAGCCCGGCGCGCAAUGCCGCGCGGCGGACCGAGGUUCGCGCGUCGUCCGCAAGGAUGCUGGCGUAAUGGCCACCAGCAACCCGUCUUGAAACACGGACCAAGGAGUCGUCCUCGUAUGCGAGUGUUUGGGUG